UUAAUUUGUGCGCAUUAUAUUGGCUAUUUAUCUCCGAGUCUCUGAGCUCGACUUACGUGUUGAGGUCCAGCUCUGGUCUGGACUGGCCUGGGCUGGCCUUUGGCCCUCGAUAGCCUGCACUUGACAGUGAAUGACGAAAUAAUUUACCCAUAGUUAUGCAAUCGCUUUUUCUGACCCAGCCAUUCAACAAGUGACAACAAGUGCCGACAAGUUCGAUCUGAUAAUCUGUUUGUUUCUCUUUACCAUUGCAGAACGAUCCAAUCUCCUACUUUCUACCCCUGUAAAAAUAUAAACAGCGAUCUGUACAAUCGAUACCAGUAGCAUGCCUGAAGGCAUUCGAAAUGUUAUCGUAAAUUAUAGAAUGGAAUCCAUUAAUGCGCACAGACAUAGACAGAUAGAAGCAGAGGGAGCUGAAGAGGAAGAGCCAACAUUCAUAUAUUCAAAAUUCAUUUGCCCCUAAUUGUAUGCAAUGGAAAAUGUGCGUGCAAUUUAUGCAAACAAGCGUCGUCCGUGGGUGUGUGUGUGCUCUCUGAUUCCAUGUUUGCAAACGACUAUUUCUGCUACAUAUUUCAUAAAAUACAUAGUGCAUCUUCCGAGCGAGUUCCUGCUAAAACUGGCAUUUAAAUACGAUUUGGAAAGUUGCUCUUGCGAAACUUUUCCCAGAAUAUUUGACACAGCUCUCUAGCAAAUUGUUUGCUAGCUCUCUAAGUGGCCCCAAUCCAAAUUAAUUCAACCAAUAAAAUGGCAUAAAUUAUACAAA
This is a long non-coding RNA of Drosophila pseudoobscura, 760 nucleotides long. RefSeq lists it as uncharacterized. The record is from RefSeq and is a predicted model, not a curated record. NCBI's taxonomy places the organism in Eukaryota, Metazoa, Arthropoda, Insecta, Diptera, Drosophilidae. The transcript is spliced from 2 exons.